UUUUAGUGCUAAGGUAGCAUAAUCAUUCGUCUUUUAAUUGAAGACUAGAACAAAAGAUUAAACAUUUUAAUUAUUUUAUUUAAAAUAUUAAUUAAAAUUUUCUAAAAUGUAAAAAGACAUUUAAAAUAUAGAAAGACGACAAGACCCUAUUGAACUUAACUAUAGUUAAACUGGGGCAGUUUAAUAAUUAUUAUUUUAUUAAUCUUUAAUAACUAAAUAUCUAUUAUUAUUAAUAAAAAGUUACCAUAGGGAUAACAGCAUAAUAAAUAUUUAAAGAUCUUAUAUAAAUAUAAUAUUAUGACCUCGAUGUUGAAUUAAUAUCCUAUAUUAUGCAGUAACUAUAUAAGGAAGUCUGUUCGACUUUUUAAAAAUUACGUGAUCUGGUCA
Molecule: ribosomal RNA, 387 nt
Filed under: Clubiona pseudogermanica
Lineage: Eukaryota; Metazoa; Arthropoda; Arachnida; Araneae; Clubionidae
Description: partial 16S ribosomal RNA
Source: RNAcentral